Molecule: ribosomal RNA, 765 nt
Filed under: uncultured Streptococcus sp.
Lineage: Bacteria; Bacillati; Bacillota; Bacilli; Lactobacillales; Streptococcaceae
Description: bacterial SSU rRNA
Rfam family: Bacterial small subunit ribosomal RNA
Source: RNAcentral
GACGAACGCUGGCGGCGUGCCUAAUACAUGCAAGUAGAACGCUGAAGAGAGGAGCUUGCUCUUCUUGGAUGAGUUGCGAACGGGUGAGUAACGCGUAGGUAACCUGCCUGGUAGCGGGGGAUAACUAUUGGAAACGAUAGCUAAUACCGCAUGAUAUUAAUUAUUGCAUGAUAAUUGAUUGAAAGAUGCAAUUGCAUCACUACCAGAUGGACCUGCGUUGUAUUAGCUAGUUGGUGAGGUAACGGCUCACCAAGGCGACGAUACAUAGCCGACCUGAGAGGGUGAUCGGCCACACUGGGACUGGGACACGGCCCAGACUCCUACGGGAGGCAGCAGUAGGGAAUCUUCGGCAAUGGGGGGAACCCUGACCGAGCAACGCCGCGUGAGUGAAGAAGGUUUUCGGAUCGUAAAGCUCUGUUGUAAGAGAAGAACGGGUGUGAGAGUGAAAAGUUCACACUGUGACGGUAUCUUACCAGAAAGGGACGGCUAACUACGUGCCAGCAGCCGCGGUAAUACGUAGGUCCCGAGCGUUGUCCGGAUUUAUUGGGCGUAAAGCGAGCGCAGGCGGUUAGAUAAGUCUGAAGUUAAAGGCUGUGGCUUAACCAUAGUAUGCUUUGGAAACUGUUUAACUUGAGUGCAGAAGGGGAGAGUGGAAUUCCAUGUGUAGCGGUGAAAUGCGUAGAUAUAUGGAGGAACACCGGUGGCGAAAGCGGCUCUCUGGUCUGUAACUGACGCUGAGGCUCGAAAGCGUGGGGAGCAAACAGG